Molecule: ribosomal RNA, 460 nt
Filed under: uncultured bacterium
Lineage: Bacteria
Description: partial 16S ribosomal RNA
Rfam family: Bacterial small subunit ribosomal RNA
Source: RNAcentral
CCUACGGGGGGCUGCAGUGAGGAAUAUUGGUCAAUGGACGCAAGUCUGAACCAGCCAUGCCGCGUGCAGGAAGACGGCCCUAUGAGUUGUAAACUGCUUUUGUACGAGGGUAAAUCCCGAUACGUGUAUCGGGUUGACAGUAUCGUACGUAUACGGAUCGGCUAACUCCGUGCCAGCAGCCGCGGUAAUACGGAGGGUUCAAGCGUUAUCCGGAUUUAUUGGGUUUAAAGGGUGCGUAGGCGGUUCGAUAAGUUAGAGGUGAAAUCCCGGGGCUCAACUCCGGCGGGGCAUCUGAAACUGGCGGGAUAGAGUUUAGUUGCGGUAGGCGGAAUGUAAGGUGUAGCGGUGAAAUGCACAGAGAUCAGAAAGAACACCGAUUGCGAAGGCAGCUUACCGAACUACGACUGACGUUGAGGCACGAAAGCGUGGGGAGCAAACAGGAUUAGAUACCCGAGUAGUC